GACGAACGCUGGCGGCGUGCUUAACACAUGCAAGUCGAACGGAAAGGCCCUGCUUUUGUGGGGUGCUCGAGUGGCGAACGGGUGAGUAACACGUGAGUAACCUGCCCUUGACUUUGGGAUAACUUCAGGAAACUGGGGCUAAUACCGGAUAGGAGCUCCUGCUGCAUGGUGGGGGUUGGAAAGUUUCGGCGGUUGGGGAUGGACUCGCGGCUUAUCAGCUUGUUGGUGGGGUAGUGGCUUACCAAGGCUUUGACGGGUAGCCGGCCUGAGAGGGUGACCGGCCACAUUGGGACUGAGAUACGGCCCAGACUCCUACGGGAGGCAGCAGUGGGGGAUAUUGCAUAAUGGGCGGAAGCCUGAUGCAGCAACGCCGCGUGCGGGAUGACGGCCUUCGGGUUGUAAACCGCUUUCGCCUGUGACGAAGCGUGAGUGACGGUAAUGGGUAAAGAAGCACCGGCUAACUACGUG
Molecule: ribosomal RNA, 468 nt
Filed under: uncultured bacterium
Lineage: Bacteria
Description: partial 16S ribosomal RNA
Rfam family: Bacterial small subunit ribosomal RNA
Source: RNAcentral